GCGAGUUACGAUUUGAUGCAAGGUUAAGCAGUAAAUGUGGAGCCGUAGCGAAAGCGAGUCUGAAUAGGGCGUUUAGUAUUUGGUCGUAGACCCGAAACCAGGUGAUCUACCCUUGGUCAGGUUGAAGUUCAGGUAACACUGAAUGGAGGACCGAACCGACUUACGUUGAAAAGUGAGCGGAUGAACUGAGGGUAGCGGAGAAAUUCCAAUCGAACCUGGAGAUAGCUGGUUCUCUCCGAAAUAGCUUUAGGGCUAGCCUCAAGUGAUGAUUAUUGGAGGUAGAGCACUGUUUGGACGAGGGGCCCCUCUCGGGUUACCGAAUUCAGACAAACUCCGAAUGCCAAUUAAUUUAACUUGGGAGUCAGAACAUGGGUGAUAAGGUCCGUGUUCGAAAGGGAAACAGCCCAGACCACCAGCUAAGGUCCCAAAAUAUAUGUUAAGUGGAAAAGGAUGUGGCGUUGCCCAGACAACUAGGAUGUUGGCUUAGAAGCAGCCAUCAUUUAAAGAGUGCGUAAUAGCUCACUAGUCGAGUGACACUGCGCCGAAAAUGUACCGGGGCUAAACAUAUUACCGAAGCUGUGGAUUGUCCUUUGGACAAUGGUAGGAGAGCGUUCUAAGGGCGUUGAAGCAUGAUCGUAAGGACAUGUGGAGCGCUUAGAAGUGAGAAUGCCGGUGUGAGUAGCGAAAGACGGGUGAGAAUCCCGUCCACCGAUUGACUAAGGUUUCCAGAGGAAGGCUCGUCCGCUCUGGGUUAGUCGGGUCCUAAGCUGAGGCCGACAGGCGUAGGCGAUGGAUAACAGGUUGAUAUUCCUGUACCACCUAUAAUCGUUUUAAUCGAUGGGGGGACGCAGUAGGAUAGGCGAAGCGUGCGAUUGGAUUGCACGUCUAAGCAGUAAGGCUGAGUAUUAGGCAAAUCCGGUACUCGUUAAGGCUGAGCUGUGAUGGGGAGAAGACAUUGUGUCUUCGAGUCGUUGAUUUCACACUGCCGAGAAAAGCCUCUAGAUAGAAAAUAGGUGCCCGUACCGCAAACCGACACAGGUAGUCAAGAUGAGAAUUCUAAGGUGAGCGAGCGAACUCUCGUUAAGGAACUCGGCAAAAUGACCCCGUAACUUCGGGAGAAGGGGUGCUCUUUAGGGUUAACGCCCAGAAGAGCCGCAGUGAAUAGGCCCAAGCGACUGUUUAUCAAAAACACAGGUCUCUGCUAAACCGUAAGGUGAUGUAUAGGGGCUGACGCCUGCCCGGUGCUGGAAGGUUAAGAGGAGUGGUUAGCUUCUGCGAAGCUACGAAUCGAAGCCCCAGUAAACGGCGGCCGUAACUAUAACGGUCCUAAGGUAGCGAAAUUCCUUGUCGGGUAAGUUCCGACCCGCACGAAAGGCGUAACGAUUUGGGCACUGUCUCAACGAGAGACUCGGUGAAAUCAUAGUACCUGUGAAGAUGCAGGUUACCCGCGACAGGACGGAAAGACCCCGUGGAGCUUUACUGUAGCCUGAUAUUGAAAUUCGGCACAGCUUGUACAGGAUAGGUAGGAGCCUUUGAAACGUGAGCGCUAGCUUACGUGGAGGCGCUGGUGGGAUACUACCCUAGCUGUGUUGGCUUUCUAACCCGCACCACUUAUCGUGGUGGGAGACAGUGUCAGGCGGGCAGUUUGACUGGGGCGGUCGCCUCCUAAAAGGUAACGGAGGCGCUCAAAGGUUCCCUCAGAAUGGUUGGAAAUCAUUCAUAGAGUGUAAAGGCAUAAGGGAGCUUGACUGCGAGACCUACAAGUCGAGCAGGGUCGAAAGACGGACUUAGUGAUCCGGUGGUUCCGCAUGGAAGGGCCAUCGCUCAACGGAUAAAAGCUACCCCGGGGAUAACAGGCUUAUCUCCCCCAAGAGUUCACAUCGACGGGGAGGUUUGGCACCUCGAUGUCGGCUCAUCGCAUCCUGGGGCUGUAGUCGGUCCCAAGGGUUGGGCUGUUCGCCCAUUAAAGCGGUACGCGAGCUGGGUUCAGAACGUCGUGAGACAGUUCGGUCCCUAUCCGUCGUGGGCGUAGGAAAUUUGAGAGGAGCUGUCCUUAGUACGAGAGGACCGGGAUGGACAUACCUCUGGUGUACCAGUUGUCGUGCCAACGGCAUAGCUGGGUAGCUAUGUGUGGACGGGAUAAGUGCUGAAAGCAUCUAAGCAUGAAGCCCCCCUCAAGAUGAGAUUUCCCAACUUCGGUUAUAAGAUCCCUCAAAGAUGAUGAGGUUAAUAGGUUCGAGGUGGAAGCAUGGUGACAUGUGGAGCUGACGAAUACUAAUCGAUCGAAGACUUAAUCAA
Molecule: ribosomal RNA, 2298 nt
Filed under: Staphylococcus aureus
Lineage: Bacteria; Bacillati; Bacillota; Bacilli; Caryophanales; Staphylococcaceae
Description: partial 23S ribosomal RNA
Rfam family: Bacterial large subunit ribosomal RNA
Source: RNAcentral